GGGUGUGUAGCUCAGCUGGUCAGAGCGCUACGUUCACAUCGUAGAGUUCACAAGUUCGAACCUGGUCACACCCACCA
This 77-nucleotide transfer RNA is filed under the name Alphaproteobacteria bacterium. RNAcentral's name for it is "tRNA-Val". It matches the Rfam family "tRNA". From Rfam's summary of the family: Transfer RNA (tRNA) molecules are approximately 80 nucleotides in length. Their secondary structure includes four short double-helical elements and three loops (D, anti-codon, and T loops). Further hydrogen bonds mediate the characteristic L-shaped molecular structure. tRNAs have two regions of fundamental functional importance: the anti-codon, which is responsible for specific mRNA codon recognition, and the 3' end, to which the tRNAs corresponding amino acid is attached (by aminoacyl-tRNA synthetases). tRNAs cope with the degeneracy of the genetic code in two manners: having more than one tRNA (with a specific anti-codon) for a particular amino acid; and 'wobble' base-pairing, i.e. permitting non-standard base-pairing at the 3rd anti-codon position. Lineage: Bacteria; Pseudomonadati; Pseudomonadota; Alphaproteobacteria. The record is from RNAcentral.